Oncorhynchus keta (chum salmon) is the source of this 748-nucleotide long non-coding RNA. RefSeq lists it as uncharacterized. The transcript has 3 exons. Lineage: Eukaryota; Metazoa; Chordata; Actinopteri; Salmoniformes; Salmonidae. The record is from RefSeq and is a predicted model, not a curated record.
UCACGGCUCACUCAAAUAGACCCCGCCACAGAUCACAGAUUAACUGAUUUACCAUGGCAACUAGAGCCGCGUACUUUUCCCCGUCGGAAGCACAAAUCCUCAUGGAGGCAUACGAGGAGGUAAAAGAUAUAAUUAAGAAGAAAGGCAACACCGCCACAGUGAUAAAGCAAAGAGAAAAAGCGUGGCAAAGUAUUGCAGACCGCCUGAAUGCAUGGUCUGCAAUGCUGACUGUGUGAUCAGCAAUGUUGUGGCAAAAUGGCCUGGCUCAGUCCAUGACUCCAGAAUCUUUCGGGCCUCUGAAAUCUAUCAGUGCCUAUCACAAGGUGAAUUCUCUGGUGUGUUGCUGGGAGACAGGGGGUAUGGCUGCCAGCCUUUUCUCCUGACACCUUUCACAGACCCCCAGGAAGCACAGCAGGCCUACAACCAUGCCCAUGCCAGGACCAGGGCCAGAGUUGAAAUGACCUUUGGCCUCCUGAAGGCACGCUUUCACUGCCUUCACAAAUUAAGGGUCAGCCCUGUUAGGGCAUGUGAUAUUACUGUGGCUUGUGCUGUCCUCCACAAUGUGGCCUGCCUGAGGAAGGAGAGGGCCCCAGAGUGCCACCAGCCAUGGACUGGGACAAUCCGGCAAUCUUCCCUGAUGACGACAGUGGUCGGCUGCUGAGGGACCAAUAUGUGUUGAAUUAUUUUAGUUAGUAUGUGUGCUUUCAAUUUUGGUUAAAUAUGUCCUGCGGUGGCAGAGGAAUUUGGG